Molecule: ribosomal RNA, 894 nt
Filed under: uncultured bacterium
Lineage: Bacteria
Description: bacterial SSU rRNA
Rfam family: Bacterial small subunit ribosomal RNA
Source: RNAcentral
GGAUUUAUUAGGUUUAAAGGGUGCGCAGGCGGCCCUAUAAGUCAGUGGUGAAAGUUUGCGGCUUAACCGUAAAAUUGCCAUUGAUACUGUAGGGCUUGAAUAUGGUAGAGGUAGGCGGAAUGUGUAGUGUAGCGGUGAAAUGCUUAGAUAUUACACAGAACACCGAUUGCGAAGGCAGCUUACUAUGCCAUGAUUGACGCUGAGGCACGAAAGCGUGGGUAGCGAACAGGAUUAGAUACCCUGGUAGUCCACGCCGUAAACGAUGAUUACUGGUUGUGUGCGAUAUACAGUGCGCGACUGAGGGAAACCAUUAAGUAAUCCACCUGGGGAGUACGUUCGCAAGAAUGAAACUCAAAGGAAUUGACGGGGGCCCGCACAAGCGGAGGAACAUGUGGUUUAAUUCGAUGAUACGCGAGGAACCUUACCUGGGCUUAAAUGUAGAGUGCAUGAGUUGGAAACAGCUCUUUCCUUCGGGACCCUUUACAAGGUGCUGCAUGGUUGUCGUCAGCUCGUGCCGUGAGGUGUCGGGUUAAGUCCCAUAACGAGCGCAACCCCUAUCGUUAGUUGCCAGCGGGUAAUGCCGGGGACUCUAAUGAAACUGCCGGUGUAAACCGUGAGGAAGGUGGGGAUGACGUCAAAUCAGCACGGCCCUUAUGUCCAGGGCUACACACGUGUUACAAUGGCCGGUACAAUGGGCAGCUACCAGGUGACUGGAUGCUAAUCUCCAAAGCCGGUCUCAGUUCGGAUCGGAGUCUGCAACUCGACUCCGUGAAGUUGGAUUCGCUAGUAAUCGUAUAUCAGCAAUGAUACGGUGAAUACGUUCCCGGGCCUUGUACACACCGCCCGUCAAGCCAUGGAAGCUGGGGGUACCUGAAGUACGUAACCGCAAGGAGC